This 457-nucleotide ribosomal RNA is filed under the name uncultured Nitrososphaera sp. RNAcentral describes it as "bacterial SSU rRNA". It matches the Rfam family "Archaeal small subunit ribosomal RNA", at positions 396 to 853 of the family's 1478-position model. Lineage: Archaea; Thermoproteati; Nitrososphaerota; Nitrososphaeria; Nitrososphaerales; Nitrososphaeraceae. The record is from RNAcentral.
GUUAAGGGCAUCUUUUGGUACCUCUAAAAAUGGUGCAGAAUAAGGGGUGGGCAAGUCUGGUGUCAGCCGCCGCGGUAAUACCAGCACCCCGAGUGGUCGGGACGAUUAUUGGGCCUAAAGCAUCCGUAGCUUGUCCUGCAAGUCUUCCGUUAAAUCCACCUGCUCAACAGAUGGGCUGCGGAGGAUACUACAGGGCUAGGAGGCGGGAGAGGCAAGCGGUACUCAGUGGGUAGGGGUAAAAUCCUCUGAUCCACUGAAGACCACCAGUGGCGAAGGCGGCCUGCCAGAACGCGCUCGACGGUGAGGGAUGAAAGCUGGGGGAGCAAACCGGAUUAGAUACCCGGGUAGUCCCAGCUGUAAACGAUGCAGACUCGGUGAUGGGUUGGCUUCGAGCCAACCCAGUGCCGCAGGGAAGCCGUUAAGUCUGCCGCCUGGGGAGUACGGUCGCAAGACUGAA